AAUACGUUCCGGGCCUUGUACACACCGCCCGUCACACCACGAAAGUCGGCAACACCCGAAGCCGGUGGCCUAACCCUUUGGGAAGGAGCCGUCGAAGGUGGGGUCGGUGAUUGGGGUG
Molecule: ribosomal RNA, 118 nt
Filed under: uncultured bacterium
Lineage: Bacteria
Description: partial 16S ribosomal RNA
Rfam family: Bacterial small subunit ribosomal RNA
Source: RNAcentral